Long non-coding RNA from Mus spicilegus (steppe mouse), 2605 nucleotides. NCBI's taxonomy places the organism in Eukaryota, Metazoa, Chordata, Mammalia, Rodentia, Muridae. The record is from Ensembl.
CAGGACUCCAUGAAUCACACACAGUUUGAUCAUUUGCAGAUGUUAACACAAGUAAGCAGUCACAUAUUGUUCAAAAUCACCUCUAGCACAAGUAAGCAGUCUUAUAUUGCUCACAAUGGUCUGCUUUGUGCUCAUUUUUAUUUGUUUGGAUGAUUGUUGAUCAAACAUUUUCCUUUUUUUUUUCUUUUUUGACUUGAUAGAAUGUUUAUUGCAGAUAGCAUGUCAGGUAUCCCAGGCUGGCCUCAAACUUGCUGUAUAGUGGAAAGUAACAUUGAGCUUGCAAUGUUCUGGCUUCACCUCCUUAAGUGCUAGGAUUACAAACAUGUGCACCAUACCUUGUUUAAUGUGGUGAGGACUGAACCUAAGGCUUCAUGCAUGCAAGGCAAGCACUCUACCAACAACUACGUCUCAAACCUCAAGCUGUCUCUGUGCUGGGUUCUCAUCCUACUGCCCCAUAAAACUAUAAAGAUGGGAUUUUAACAUUUGGGAAAAAAAAAAGGUUUUAAACACUGGAGGCUGGGGAUUGUGUCUGUAAGCCCAGCACUUUGGAAGCCAAGGCAAGUUCAAGGCCAGUCUGAGUUACAUAGUGAGGCCUUCUUUCAAAUAUUUUUAUUUUAAAAUCAUGUGAUUUUUAAAAAAUGUUGUGUAGGCCAUCACCUUGAACAAAACUCCCCUCCCUAUCUCUGUCCUUCAAGCUAAAAAGAAAGAAAAAAGAAAAAAAGCAAGAUAAGAGAGGACAUUCUGUACCUAAUGCAGAGUGUUCUUUCCAACAGGCCUCCAUCCCUCCUCCGGGCUCCGCUCUGGGCAUCCAGAGGAGAAAGACUUUGAAGUCCUCAGGGGACUUGCAAGCAGAAGUGGGGGAAAGGGUACCACAAAUGGAGAUGAAAUCUGUCUUUACUUUCCUGAUGUUCCUGAGCUUCAAAGCCAGAGCCAUGAGCCAUGGAAAGGCGGAGUUGGAAAGGACGCCGUCUCUGAUGUGACAUUCUAUGCUCAAAAAUGCCUUUUCCUGGCCUCUUUGUGUGACUUUAGUUGGAUACCAGUAACAGCUGCUUUCAAGGUCAAGUCUGGAAUGUUCCAAGGCACUGGACAUGAGACAUUCAAGAGCCUGGAGAAGAGGCAAACUUUGUCUGUGCAAGGCCAGAGACAAGUACUCUGGUGUUGUGGAUCAUACUCUGUAUAGUCCUGAACAGUUGGAGGCAAACAGGUUCCACUGUGGUAUCUGCAGUGGGCAUUUCAUCAGAAUGGCUCAAGAUGAAAAUGUAAACACUGCUGGCGGAAUUCUGGCAGAAGACCUUUGAAUGAAGCAAGAUGUCUUGGUACACAUUCAUCAUCCCAGGACUUGGGUGAUGGAGGUAAAAGGAUUUCAAGUUUGAAGCUGGCCUGGUCUACAUAGCAAGAGUCUGUCUCAAGAAAUCAAAAUCAACCAGCCAAGCAUGUUUUAUAUUUCCCCAAAAGGGAAAAACAUCUACCAAGAGUUCUGUCUUUCUUUUCCCUCUCAGUUACCCCCUCGAUGUGUGUGUGUGUGUGUUUCUGGGGAUCUGACACGGGGUCUUGGCCUAUCACUGAUAUUAUAGCCCUAGACCCACUGAGUUAUAUCUCCAGUCCUGUUUUUAUUUUUUUCCUACUUUUCUUGAGCAGCUGGGAGUGUAGAUCUGAGCUACCUGCCACCACCACGCUUGUCUGAGAACUCCUUUUUAUUAAAUUUAAAGCUCUUCCAAUUAUUGAAGGAUCAAUUCAGAUAUAAACCACAGCAGAAUACUGCCGAAGCAGUGUGUUCUUCUGUUCGGUUAAAAAGGAAAAAGCAAAAAUACUUGGUGGAAGGGAUGGCUCAGUUCUGACCCUCAGCUAAGGUAAAUUCGAUUAGGCCAUGUUUUUUAAGGAACAUUUUUAUUUUCUGAGGUAACAUUUUUCUUAUCAGAUAUACCUCAGGACUAUGAACCAAUGGCAUAUGACAAAGAAAAAAAAAAAACUUAGUGGUUUUUUUUUUCCCUUUGGGGCACAUUAAAAAAUUAUAUUCCACUCUUUGUUUGGCUGGUUGAUUUUGGGAAGUGCUUCAAGGAGAAUUCCAGAUAAGAACACUUUUGCUAGAUCAAGCCAUCUUUACUUACAUUCUCCAUAGGAUGCAAGCUUACUGGCCUUUAUUCUACUUCUUCUUUGAGGGAUGAAACAUUUCGUCUGCUGGUGCUGCUUAAAAGUUGUCUAUUAGACAACCAGUCAGUGACCUGUCCUGUCUGCAGAAAGCCAGCUGAGAUCUGUAGUUCUGUCUCCAAGCAGGUGGGGAUACGGUUGUCCUUUCAAUGCAUUGGCUAGAAGCUCCCCCUGCCAAGAACUGAACGCUUUAAUUCUGUGAUUCAUCAAAGCCGUUCCUUAUACAUGGUGUCAAAUAACCUUUCUUUUCAGGAGGUCUAACCCAAUAGCCUCCCAGACCUCAGGAUGAAAGCAGGCAGCGUGUACACUGUGUGCAAGAAGGACAAAGAAGAAACACACUCAAAGCCGAGCCCCAUGUUACAUAAUGCCUGUGUUUGAAGAUCCAUGACCCAUAAAACAUUUACCUACUUUGUGGGGUUUAAAUAAAGCAGAGUGGUGUUCCUUUUUAAAGAACUAC